Molecule: ribosomal RNA, 621 nt
Filed under: Clostridioides difficile
Lineage: Bacteria; Bacillati; Bacillota; Clostridia; Peptostreptococcales; Peptostreptococcaceae
Description: partial 23S ribosomal RNA
Rfam family: Bacterial large subunit ribosomal RNA
Source: RNAcentral
AGGUGGGAGGCUUUGAAACCAGGACGCCAGUUUUGGCGGAGCCAUCCUUGGGAUACCACCCUUGUAGUACUGGGACUCUAACCAUAGGCCAUGAAUCUGGUCUUGGGACACUGUCAGGUGGGCAGUUUGACUGGGGCGGUCGCCUCCCAAAAGGUAACGGAGGCGCUCAAAGGUUCUCUCAGUACGGUCGGAAAUCGUACGUAGAGUGUAAAGGCAAAAGAGAGCUUGAUUGCAAGACAUACAGGUCGAGCAAGGAUGAAAAUCGGACUUAGUGAUCCGGUGGUUCUGCGUGGAAGGGCCAUCGCUCAACGGAUAAAAGCUACCCUGGGGAUAACAGGCUUAUCUCCCCCAAGAGUCCACAUCGACGGGGAGGUUUGGCACCUCGAUGUCGGCUCAUCACAUCCUGGGGCUGUAGUAGGUCCCAAGGGUUGGGCUGUUCGCCCAUUAAAGUGGUACGCGAGCUGGGUUCAGAACGUCGUGAGACAGUUCGGUCCCUAUCCGUCGCAGGCGUAGGAAAUUUGAGAAGACCUGUCCUUAGUACGAGAGGACCGGGAUGGACGUACCUCUGGUGUACCAGUUGUUCUGCCAAGGGCAUGGCUGGGUAGCUAUGUACGGAAUGGA